This 352-nucleotide ribosomal RNA is filed under the name Rhizopogon sp. RNAcentral's name for it is "SSU rRNA". It matches the Rfam family "Eukaryotic small subunit ribosomal RNA", at positions 871 to 1222 of the family's 1831-position model. Lineage: Eukaryota; Fungi; Basidiomycota; Agaricomycetes; Boletales; Rhizopogonaceae. The record is from RNAcentral.
AAUAGGGACAGUUGGGGGCAUUAGUAUUCAGUUGCUAGAGGUGAAAUUCUUGGAUUUACUGAAGACUAACUACUGCGAAAGCAUUUGCCAAGGAUGUUUUCAUUAAUCAAGAACGAAGGUUAGGGGAUCGAAAACGAUCAGAUACCGUUGUAGUCUUAACAGUAAACUAUGCCGACUAGGGAUCGGGCGACCUCUUUUUGAUGUGUCGCUCGGCACCUUACAAGAAAUCAAAGUCUUUGGGUUCUGGGGGGAGUAUGGUCGCAAGGCUGAAACUUAAAGGAAUUGACGGAAGGGCACCACCAGGAGUGGAGCCUGCGGCUUAAUUUGACUCAACACGGGGAAACUCACCAGG